This 253-nucleotide ribosomal RNA is filed under the name uncultured bacterium. RNAcentral's name for it is "partial 16S ribosomal RNA". It matches the Rfam family "Bacterial small subunit ribosomal RNA", at positions 524 to 776 of the family's 1533-position model. The record is from RNAcentral.
UACGGAGGGUCCAAACGUUGUCCGGAAUCACUGGGCGUAAAGCGCAUGUAGGUGGUUUAGUAAGUGGAUGAUUAAAGACCGACGCCUAACGUCGGAACAGUUAUUCAUACUGCUAGACUGGAGUAUGGCAGGGGUAAGCGGAACUUUAGGUGUAGGAGUGAAAUCCGUAGAUAUCUAAAGGAACACCAAUGGCGAAGGCAGCUUACUGGGCCAUUACUGACACUGAGAUGCGAAAGUGUGGGGAGCAAACGGG